RNAcentral lists this long non-coding RNA (473 nucleotides) under Physcomitrium patens. RNAcentral describes it as "long non-coding RNA (PPAT_LNC010868)". The record is from RNAcentral. Lineage: Eukaryota; Viridiplantae; Streptophyta; Bryopsida; Funariales; Funariaceae.
CCUAUGAAGUCAAAGCAGUAUCUACGAAGCUUCUAAAAAGCUUCCAUAUUAAAUAUUAUAGAAUUAAUUUACUUUUACCUACUUUUACUUACUUCUACCUAUUUGUAUAUGUUAUUAUUAGCUUACAUGAUUAUGGCCAUGACACUUUGAGUGCUAAAAACUCCUUCAUAAAAAUCUCAAAUCACACAAAAUUUACAUCCAAUUUGUACCCAAAAUCAUAAAUUUGCUGAUCCUAGCCUCUAAAGCUUGAAUGACUUUGAAAGAAAAACCCUAAUCUCUAAUAAAGCCUUAGGCAGCCUCCUUCAAGCCCAUUGGACAUGACGUUCAACUAAUAGGAAUGAAGAUCUCCAUUCCUUCCUUUCAUCCCUCCCAAUAAGCCUCCUACUAGUUAAGAUUUUUUUAUUUAGGCUCUAAUCUCUUCUCAAGGCUUCAUACUAAACAUUUAGAUCCUAUAAUAUUUUUAAAUACUAUAA